AUUGAACGCUGGCGGCAUGCCUUACACAUGCAAGUCGAACGGCAGCACGGGUGCUUGCACCUGGUGGCGAGUGGCGAACGGGUGAGUAAUACAUCGGAACAUGUCCUGUAGUGGGGGAUCGCCCGGCGAAAGCCUGAUUAAUACCGCAUACGAUCCACGGAUGAAAGCGGGGGACCUUCGGUCCUCGCGCUCUCGGGUUUGCCGAUGGCUGAUUAGCUAGUUGGUGGGGUAAAGGCCUACCAAGGCGACGAUCAGUAGCUGGUCUGAGAGGACGACCAGCCACACUGGGACUGAGACACGGCCCAGACUCCUACGGGAGGCAGCAGUGGGGAAUUUUGGACAAUGGGCGAAAGCCUGAUCCAGCAAUGCCGCGUGUGUGAAGAAGGCCUUCGGGUUGUAAAGCACUUUUGUCCGGAAAGAGAUCCUUGGCUCUAAUACAGUCGGGGGAUGACGGUACCGGAAGAAUAAGCACCGGCUAACUACGUG
RNAcentral lists this ribosomal RNA (486 nucleotides) under uncultured bacterium. RNAcentral describes it as "partial 16S ribosomal RNA". It matches the Rfam family "Bacterial small subunit ribosomal RNA", at positions 30 to 507 of the family's 1533-position model. The record is from RNAcentral.